RNAcentral lists this ribosomal RNA (429 nucleotides) under Actinomycetes bacterium. Its description in RNAcentral is "Actinobacteria bacterium partial 16S ribosomal RNA". It matches the Rfam family "Bacterial small subunit ribosomal RNA", at positions 355 to 776 of the family's 1533-position model. The record is from RNAcentral. Lineage: Bacteria; Bacillati; Actinomycetota; Actinomycetes.
UAGGGAAUCUUCCGCAAUGGGCGAAAGCUUGACGGAGCAACGCCGCGUGAGUGAUGAAGGUCUUCGGAUCGUAAAACUCUGUUAUUAGGGAAGAACAAAUGUGUAAGUAACUAUGCACGUCUUGACGGUACCUAAUCAGAAAGCCACGGCUAACUACGUGCCAGCAGCCGCGGUAAUACGUAGGUGGCAAGCGUUAUCCGGAAUUAUUGGGCGUAAAGCGCGCGUAGGCGGUUUUUUAAGUCUGAUGUGAAAGCCCACGGCUCAACCGUGGAGGGUCCUUGGAAACUGGAAAACUUGAGUGCAGAAGAGGAAAGUGGAAUUCCAUGUGUAGCGGUGAAAUGCGCAGAGAUAUGGAGGAACACCAGUGGCGAAGGCGACUUUCUGGUCUGUAACUGACGCUGAUGUGCGAAAGCGUGGGGAUCAAACAGG